ACUGGCGGCGGGCCUACACAUGCAAGUCGAGCGGAUGAAAGGAGCUUGCUCCUACAUUCAGCGGCGGACGGGUGAGUAAUGCCUAGGAAUCUGCCUGGUAGUGGGGGACAACGUUUCGAAAGGAACGCUAAUACCGCAUACGUCCUACGGGAGAAAGCAGGGGACCUUCGGGCCUUGCGCUAUCAGAUGAGCCUAGGUCGGAUUAGCUAGUUGGUGAGGUAAUGGCUCACCAAGGCGACGAUCCGUAACUGGUCUGAGAGGAUGAUCAGUCACACUGGAACUGAGACACGGUCCAGACUCCUACGGGAGGCGGCAGUGGGGAAUAUUGGACAAUGGGCGAAAGCCUGAUCCAGCCAUGCCGCGUGUGUGAAGAAGGUCUUCGGAUUGUAAAGCACUUUAAGUUGGGAGGAAGGGUUGUAGAUUAAUACUCUGCAAUUUUGACGUUACCGACAGAAUAAGCACCGGCUAACUCCGUGCCAGCAGCCGCGGUAAU
RNAcentral lists this ribosomal RNA (493 nucleotides) under uncultured bacterium. RNAcentral describes it as "bacterial SSU rRNA". It matches the Rfam family "Bacterial small subunit ribosomal RNA", at positions 36 to 524 of the family's 1533-position model. The record is from RNAcentral.